GGCAGGAGAGGGACUGGGAAAGGCGGACCUGAGCGAGACCCAGUGGAGCGACCGAAGGAGGAGCGAUGAGCCGACGUCAGGGGAAGGCUAUGGUGAUGGUAGAAGAUACCGCCAUUGAAAUCGGCUCCAUGAUUUCAGUGAAAACGAUGGGAUCCCAGAAUGACAAAGGCCAAGUGGCAACAAUUAACCACAAGAGACAAGGAGGUGGGUCAAAAAAGAUCUUGCUGCGGUUUAUGUCAAAGACUGUUCUG
Non-coding RNA from Delphinapterus leucas (beluga whale), 251 nucleotides. The record is from RefSeq and is a predicted model, not a curated record. NCBI's taxonomy places the organism in Eukaryota, Metazoa, Chordata, Mammalia, Artiodactyla, Monodontidae.